Molecule: ribosomal RNA, 497 nt
Filed under: uncultured bacterium
Lineage: Bacteria
Description: partial 16S ribosomal RNA
Rfam family: Bacterial small subunit ribosomal RNA
Source: RNAcentral
GAUGAACGCUGGCGGCGUGCCUAAUACAUGCAAGUCGAGCGAACAGACGAGGAGCUUGUUCCUCUGACGUUAGCGGCGGACGGGAGAGUAACACGUGGAUAACCUACCUAUAAGACGGGUAUAACUUCGGGAAACCGGAGCUAAUACCGGAUGAUAUAUUGAACCGCAUGGUUCAAUAGUGAAAGACGGUUUUGCUGUCACUUAUAGAGGGAUCCGAGCCGCAUGAGCUAGUUGGUAAGGUAACGGCUUACCAAGGGAACGAGGCGUAGACGAGGUGAGAGGGUGGUCGGCCGCCCUGGAGCUUGACCACGCUCCAUACUCCUACGGGACGCAGCAGUGGCCAACCUUCCGCAAUGGGCGGGAGCCUUGCGGAGCAGCCGGACGUGAGAGGUGAAAAUCUCCGGAUCGUAAAACUCUCUUAUGAGUGAAAAACAGAUUUGUAAGGAAAUAUGCACGUCUUGACGGUACCUAAUCAAAAAGCACCGGCUAACUACGUG